Molecule: long non-coding RNA, 1367 nt
Filed under: Homo sapiens (human)
Lineage: Eukaryota; Metazoa; Chordata; Mammalia; Primates; Hominidae
Description: HSALNT0267727
Source: RNAcentral
AAUGACCAGAGCUCUCAUGGACUCGCUUGGGCCUGAGUGGCGCCUGAAGCUGCCCUCAAUCCCCUUGGUGCCUGUUUCAGCUCAGAAGAGGUGGAAUUCCUUGCCUUCGGAGAACCACAAAGAGAUGGCUAAAAGCAAAUCCAAAGAAACCACAGCUACAAAGAACAGAGAGCACUCUGCUAUUUGGUCCUGAAGCAGUACACAGAAGCAGUGAAGGACUGCACAGAAGCCCUCAAGCUGGAUGGAAAGAACGUGAAGGCAUUCUACAGACGGGCUCAAGCCCACAAAGCACUCAAGGACUAUAAAUCCAGCUUUGCAGACAUCAGCAACCUCCUACAGAUUGAGCCUAGGAAUGGUCCUGCACAGAAGUUGCGGCAGGAAGUGAAGCAGAACCUACACUAAAAACCCAACAGGGCAACUGGAACCCCUGCCUGACCUUACCCAGAGAAGCCAUGGGCCACCUGCUCUGUGCCCGCUCCUGAAACCCAGCAUGCCCCAAGUGAGCUCUGAAGCCCCCUCCUCAAUCCCUUGAUGGCCUCCCACCCUGUAAGAGGCUUUGCUUGUUCAAAUUAAACUCAGUGUAGUCAAACACAGACAUGGUUGUUGCACCAGAAAGGUCCCCACUAGAGCUAAGCGUGAAGCUGAAGCUCUGUCCCUAUUCCCCCAGCCCAGCUAGCUGAUCACACCAACAGAUCCUCAUCAGCAAAGCAUUUGGCUUUGUCCUGCCCAAGUGGGCUGCAGACUGAGUGCUGCCCUUGUAGCUUCCCCAGACCCCAACUCACUGCAGUUCAUCUGAACAACCUGAGCUCCUGGGCCGGGGUGGAAGGAGGGGGAUAAACCUAAGGCCCUGAUCCAAAGCAGCCUGUUGAGCUGGUUCUCCAGGGCUGCAGUCUCUCCAGGUGUACAGCUGCUGUCCCUGCCCUGUCCUGUCCUUGCACAGUCUCCUAUGUCUGAGCCCCAGUGCCUUCUGUUCGGGCCCUCCUUUGGUGGGAAGGCAGAGCCCUGACCCUUGAAUGGUUGUCCUUGACUCUGUGCUGCUGCCUUCUGCAGAGAGGCACCUAAGCUGUUUAAAGAGCCCAGUGAUUGUGGCUGCUCCUCCUAGAGGUGGGAGGGGGCAAGAGGCCUCCUUGGUCAGUGUCCAUGCUUUCUGGGCAGGGACUUGGUUUUUUGUUCCAACAGUGGCCUUCUCCGGGCUUCAUAGUUCUUUGUAAUAUGUUGAAGUUAAUUUGAAUUGACUGAUUUUGUUGAACUGUGUGUUUAAGCUGUUGCAUUAAAAAGCUUUCUUCUACAUCAAUAUCUGCUGUGCUUUCAUUUAUGCCUUUUCAGCUUUGCACCUGGAACUCUGUAGUAAUAAUAAAAGUUAUUGC